RNAcentral lists this small nucleolar RNA (133 nucleotides) under Pteropus vampyrus (large flying fox). RNAcentral's name for it is "Small nucleolar RNA SNORA31 (ENSPVAG00000028316.1)". Lineage: Eukaryota; Metazoa; Chordata; Mammalia; Chiroptera; Pteropodidae. The record is from RNAcentral.
UUACGCCUUUCUUUGGCAGACCUGGAGCAGUCACUGCCUGCUGCUAAGGUUCCAGUGCAGACGCAAAGAAAAAGGGUCCCCGUGCUUUCUGUCUGUCUCAUUGUGGCAGCCAAGACUGAAUGGGGAAACAGCA